GUAUGUGGCAAGCGUUGUCCGGAAUUAUUGGGCGUAAAGCGCGCGCAGGUGGUUCUUUAAGUCUGAUGUGAAAGCCCCCGGCUCAACCGGGGAGGGUCAUUGGAAACUGGGGAACUUGAGUGCAGGAGAGGAAAGUGGAAUUCCACGUGUAGCGGUGAAAUGCGUAGAUAUGUGGAGGAACACCAGUGGCGAAGGCGACUUUCUGGCCUGUAACUGACACUGAGGCGCGAAAGCGUGGGGAGCAAACAGGGAUUAGAUACCCUGGUAGUCCACGCCGUAAACGAUGAGUGCUAAGUGUUGGGGGGGUUUCCCGCCCCGUCAGUGCUGCAGCUAACGCAUUAAGCACUCCGCCUGGGGAGUACGGUCGCAAGACUG
This 375-nucleotide ribosomal RNA is filed under the name uncultured organism. RNAcentral describes it as "partial 16S ribosomal RNA". It matches the Rfam family "Bacterial small subunit ribosomal RNA", at positions 527 to 896 of the family's 1533-position model. The record is from RNAcentral.